Molecule: ribosomal RNA, 253 nt
Filed under: uncultured prokaryote
Description: partial 16S ribosomal RNA
Rfam family: Bacterial small subunit ribosomal RNA
Source: RNAcentral
UACGUAGGUGGCGAGCGUUGUCCGGAUUUACUGGGCGUAAAGAGCGCGCAGGCGGUCGAAUAAGUCGAAUGUGAAAGCCCCCGGCUCAACUGGGGAGGGUCAUUCGAUACUGCUCGACUUGAAGGCAGGAGAGGGAAGUGGAAUUCCCGGUGUAGUGGUGAAAUGCGUAGAUAUCGGGAGGAACACCAGUGGCGAAGGCGGCAUCCUGGACCGGCAUUGACGCUGAGGCGCGAAAGCCAGGGGAGCAAACGGG